Molecule: ribosomal RNA, 495 nt
Filed under: uncultured bacterium
Lineage: Bacteria
Description: partial 16S ribosomal RNA
Rfam family: Bacterial small subunit ribosomal RNA
Source: RNAcentral
GACGAACGCUGGCGGCGUGCCUAAUACAUGCAAGUAGAACGCUGAAGGAGGAGCUUGCUUCUCUGGAUGAGUUGCGAACGGGUGAGUAGCGCGUAGGUAACCUGCCUGGUAGCGGGGGAUAACUAUUGGAAACGAUAGCUAAUACCGCAUAAUAGUAGAUGUCGCAUGACAUUUGCUUAAAAGGUGCAAUUGCAUCACUACCAGAUGGACCUGCGUUGUAUUAGCUAGUUGGUGAGGUAACGGCUCACCAAGGCAACGAUACAUAGCCGACCUGAGAGGGGGAUCGGCCACACUGGGACUGAGACACGGCCCAGACUCCUACGGGAGGCAGCAGUAGGGAAUCUUCGGCAAUGGACGGAAGUCUGACCGAGCAACGCCGCGUGAGUGAAGAAGGGUGUCGGAUCGUAAAGCUCUGUUGUAAGAGAAGAACGAGUGUGAGAGUGGAAAGUUCACACUGUGACGGUAUCUUACCAGAAAGGGACGGCUAACUACGUG